Non-coding RNA from Cricetulus griseus (Chinese hamster), 483 nucleotides. Lineage: Eukaryota; Metazoa; Chordata; Mammalia; Rodentia; Cricetidae. The record is from RefSeq and is a predicted model, not a curated record.
AUUAAUUCAGCAUUUACUGUACACUUAGUGAACACUGUUUUAGUUAGUGGAGCAGGACUAAAUGAUUUAGGCAGAAUAUAUGCUGGAUGUGCAGAUACGUCUCUUUAGGUUAUAAAGAAUGUCAGUUAUGGAUUUUGAAUGUCAGUGUUUGGUUGCUAAGUACCUGAGAUAUGUCAGCCAGGUUAAUGGAAAUGAAAACAUUCUUAAGGAUGCAUUUGUUUUAAAACCCAGAAUGGACUUGAGACUGACCUUCUCGGUUCCCUGAAGACCAUCUUAGCCCCUGGCGUGGUUUCCAUCUUGAACAUCAAUAGGCAACUGCAGCAUAUUUUCAGGACUUCAUUGACAAUGGCUGAAAAGAUAGAAGAUCAAAAAAGAGAAAUAGAUGGUUUUCUGAGCAUAUUGUGCAACAAUCUCCAUGAACUCCAGGAAAAUACAGUUUCUUCCUUGGUUGAGUCACAGAAGCUUUGUGGGACCCUAAAUGAA